GCUCAGUUAUAUAAAAGACAGGAGCAGCCUGCGGCACUGACCAAUGUACAACACCGCCGCCCGUAUAUCGUACACACACUUACCCAUGCGGAGUGGCUAAAAAUAUACACAUUCAGCUGCUGCUUCUUUCGUAUGCAAAUGUGGGGAACGGUGGCUGUUCCAUGUUCUUUAGGGGAAGAAGACUGGUCCAUAUGGGACUAUGAGAAAGCUGUCUCUCCCCUCUGUAGCCUCGACUUUUUAGCUGUCAGGAACAUGGCGGAAAAGGGAGAAGGUGUGCCUUCCGUCGAGGAGCAAGUUAUGGAAGAGGAAAAUGCGGUAUUACAGGAAGAAAGUGAAAUCAGCGAAGGGGAAAAAGAAGAGGAAGAAUUGUUUGAAGUAGAAUGUUUACUUGGAAAGAAAGUGCGCAGCGGCAGGGUGGAGUAUCGCGUACGGUGGAAAGGAUAUUCAAAAGAACAUGACACAUGGGAACCAGAAGAGAAUCUAGAGCAAGUAUUAGAUAUGGUUGAGGAGUACAACAAGAAAGAAGAAGAUAAGAAAAAAGCAAGAAAAGAAGAACGUCUUAUUCGAAAGGCUAAAAUGGAAGGGAAAAAACUGCCUGGUGAGGAUAGUCCAGAGAGUGAUGACACAGAUGAUGAAAUUACUGGACUCAAAGAUCCUUUUUUCAAAUUGUUGGAAAAAGGCAAAGUGGAUGUGUUCUCACAGGAUCUCUACUCCAAAGUGAAAUCAAGAGCAGCCAUGCUAGCUGCAAAGGAAAAGGAGAAGAAAAAGGAAAAGGCUCAGGCUGCACGUAGCUCAUCUAGAGAACAGAGAAGGGCAGCCCGCAGCAUGGGUCAGAAUAGAAGCAGUGGUAGGAGAGGGGGAAGAAGCAUGGGCCAAGCUAAGUCAUCUGCAGAGAGCAAAGGGAAAGAUGAAGACAGUGACAACAGCUCAUCAGGAAUGUCUGAACAACAACCAACAAGCCCAGAAGUGAAGUCAAGAGGGAGAGCCACAGACAGGGGAGAUAACAAGACCCCCAAGGCAAGCACCAAGAAAAAGAAGAAACGAGCUGCUCCCAGAAAACCAGACCGCAGGAGAAGCAGCUGGACAUCGAAUGCUGCUGAUUCUUCCCUCAGCAGUGCAACUGACAGUUUUUCAGAAAGCCGCAGUGUGUCAUCAGAAACCAGUUAUAGCAUAAGAAAGGACAAUAAAACUAAUCCCUGUGAGACCCUAUCUGCGGCAGCUGCUGCUUCAGAGGAGGAAAAUAUAGAAGUGAUCCCAUAUGUGGAGAAUAUAACCAUGCCCUCUCUUGUUAUGAAUAUGGCAUUGGAGACAUCCCCGGCAGCAGAUGUGUGCAGCGAGGGUCACGAGGAAGUUGAUGGUAGACACAAAGCUGUCGCCAACAUCGAAGAAGGAACACCAGCAUUGCUCCCAGUAGAGUCAUCAUGUAGUGAGAUCCAAGAAGAGCAGAUGCAAUCUACAUAUGAAAAUCUUAUUAAAAAUGAUGAAGAACAAGAAGCAGUUUGUCAAAGAGGCCAUGGAAAGAAAAAGAAAAGAUUGCCAAGGAAACGAAAAUCCCAAGAAACAGAAAGCAGACUUUCUGACACUUCCAGCAGUGCAGAUCUGUCACCUAUCAAGCCGCAAACUCCACCAGAUGCCUGCAGCUCCUCUCAGUCCAGCCCAGGUCAUGAGAUCAGAAGUGAGCAAGACAAUGAUGUGAAUUCUCUUUUGGAUGAAAGCAGCCAGGAGAAAAGACUGAAGAUUGAUCUCAGUGGAGCAGAAAGUGAAGACGAUCCCCUUCCUCAGCUGCCAUUACCUCUGGUGCACAAAAUGACUCAGGAAAAGAAAGUAGAACCGUUGCUGCUACGACUUCACAACGAAAGUCGCGUGCACUUUGGUAUAACUGCUGAUAGACCACCUGAAGAUAGAGUGUAUGAAGUGACUCAUAUAGAAGCGACUAGGUUAGGACUUGUACAAUCUAAGCUACCUAAAAGAGAUUCAGACUGUGUAGAACCUGCCCGCAAACCUCAGAUGCAUGUGCCAAAUAUAACAGAUUCACCUGCUUACAGCCAGGGACAGACAAAGCACUCUAUUGUUCCUUCACCAGGUGCUUCAUCAUUUUUGGAGAAUGUGACAGUGCCAAAUGAAGUUUCUUCUAAUAGUCUCCCGCAGGAUUCUGUGUAUUCAGACAUCGGAAGUGUCCGACAUCAGCCCGAGUGGAACUUGGGAAGGGAGGCUGUGAAUUUGAAAUUGGAACCAGGAAAGGGUGGUGUAUCUGUUGCAAAGCAUACUGUACACAUUACUGUGACACAAGGUAAAGAGAAUGCUGACAGAAUGCAAGGGACUAAAUCACUAUCCAAGAAAAAAGAAGCUGAGGGUACGCAGCCUUUGGAGACAAUUCUUAACUCCUCGCUGUUGUCAGAGAGUGACAAAUCAAGGAAUAUAAAAGGUUAUGAUGACUUCGAAUUUGCACUAGAAAAAAUGGACUUGGCAGACAUUGAGGAUAUGAUUUUGCCACCAGUUAUUCCUUUAGAGCUUUCUGAUGAAGAGCUAAAGCAGGCGGUCUUGGAGGGCGAUUUGAACAAAGUUGACCAAGCGCUAUCUUCAAAUAAGUUGUACAAUCUGAACCAGGCUGAUCAUAAUGGCUGCACACUACUCAUGCAUGCUGUGCUGAAAGGGUAUGAUGAAAUAGCUAAUCAGUUGCUGUGUCAUGGUGCUGAUAUACAAAUUCAGCAGAACAAUGGUUACUCUGCAGUGAUGUUAGCAGUUGAAUGUGGAGAGUUUUCUACAGUGGCCCUUCUUUUGGAUAUGGGGGCAAACGUCAAUGCAACAGAUAUUCAUGGAGAGACGGCACUCAUCAAGGCAGUAAAGCGUGGUGAUAAACAGAUUCUAAAGCUGUUGCUGGAGAAUGGAUCCAACUUUACUGUGACCUUUCAGUCAGGUUACAGUGCCCUACAGCUGGCGAAGGUGAACCGCCUGGCAGACAUUGAAACCACUCUUAUUGAUCAUAUUAACAGAGUAGUAGCAGAAUUUGAGCGUCAGAUCCAUGCCACACUCAAGGGCACUGCAUCACUGCAGUCACCUGUGUUUCCAAUCCAGUGCUUUCCCUUGAGAGAGAGCAACACCUACAAAGUGAACUUCAGACACAUGCCAGUGCAGCUGCCAUCAGUUUAUGGUGGUGUACAGGUGUGGGAUUUCUUCUCUUUAUCGCCCAUGCAUGCUUCAAUGGUAGUGAAGUGAAGUGCCGCCUGUAUGGACAGUGUGCUGUCACCUCUGUCUAUCUCAAUGGAAUUCUUCAGCCGUCACUGACACAGGACAGCAAUUUUGUUCUCAUGUGUCACCCCUUACUUGAAGGUCGAAAUGAACUGAUCGUCAACAUCAAGAGGGACUUGCAGACCAAG
Molecule: unclassified non-coding RNA, 3377 nt
Filed under: Pomacea canaliculata
Lineage: Eukaryota; Metazoa; Mollusca; Gastropoda; Architaenioglossa; Ampullariidae
Description: m-phase phosphoprotein 8-like, transcript variant X1
Source: RNAcentral